Molecule: long non-coding RNA, 351 nt
Filed under: Brachypodium distachyon (stiff brome)
Lineage: Eukaryota; Viridiplantae; Streptophyta; Magnoliopsida; Poales; Poaceae
Description: long non-coding RNA (BDIS_LNC003103)
Source: RNAcentral
GGUGGGCGGGGCCGGUCGGGCGCGGUCGGACGGGGCCGGUUCGGCCCAUUUUGGCCGGGCCGGUCCGGUUUCUAUUUUCUUUUCUUUUAGCCCUUUUCUUUUUCUGCUUUUCCCAUUUCUUUGAUAUCUUUUGAGUUUGAACUCCAAAUUGGUCCAAAUAAAUUCCAGAAAAUUUGUAAAAUCAUGUCCUACCAUGAUACAACUUUUGGGAGUAGAUUCCCCUCAAAAUAAAAUAUAUAAAAAUACAUUUGCCCUAUAAAUGCCUUUAGGGCUAUAUAUCUGUUUGAAUAAAAUACUUUUUCAACUCCAAAUAAUUAACCAAAAAUUAUGGGAUAGCUUAUAUAUGCAUUA